RNAcentral lists this ribosomal RNA (501 nucleotides) under uncultured bacterium. Its description in RNAcentral is "bacterial SSU rRNA". It matches the Rfam family "Bacterial small subunit ribosomal RNA", at positions 30 to 528 of the family's 1533-position model. The record is from RNAcentral.
AUUGAACGCUGGCGGAAUGCUUUACACAUGCAAGUCGAACGGUAGAGGGGGCAACCCCUUGAGAGUGGCGAACGGGUGAGUAAUAUAUCGGAACGUGCCCAGUCGUGGGGAUAACGUAGCGAAAGUUACGCUAAUACCGCAUACGAUCUAAGGAUGAAAGCGGGGGAUCGCAAGACCUCGCGCGAUUGGAGCGGCCGAUAUCAGAUUAGGUAGUUGGUGGGGUAAAGGCUCACCAAGCCAACGAUCUGUAGCUGGUCUGAGAGGACGACCAGCCACACUGGAACUGAGACACGGUCCAGACUCCUACGGGAGGCAGCAGUGGGGAAUUUUGGACAAUGGACGCAAGUCUGAUCCAGCCAUUCCGCGUGCAGGAUGAAGGCCCUCGGGUUGUAAACUGCUUUGUACGGAACGAAAAGGUUUCUCUUAAUACGAGGAGCUCAUGACGGUACCGUAAGAAUAAGCACCGGCUAACUACGUGCCAGCAGCCGCGGUAAAGUGACU